UGGGGAAUAUUGGGCAAUGGGCGCAAGCCUGACCCAGCAACGCCGCGUGAAGGAAGAAGGUUUUCGGAUUGUAAACUUCUGUCGCGAGGGACGAAGAAUGACGGUACCUCGUAAGAAAGCCCCGGCUAACUACGUGCCAGCAGCCGCGGUAAUACGUAGGGGGCAAGCGUUGUCCGGAAUGACUGGGCGUAAAGGGAGUGUAGGCGGCAGCGCAAGUUAGAUGUGAAAUGCCUCGGCUUAACCGAGGAACUGCAUCUAAAACUGCGCAGCUGGAGUGCAGGAGAGGUGAGUGGAAUUCCGAGUGUAGCGGUGGAAUGCGUAGAUAUUCGGAGGAACACCAGAGGCGAAGGCGACUCACUGGACUGUAACUGACGCUGAGGCUCGAAAGCGUGGGGAGCAAACAGG
This 405-nucleotide ribosomal RNA is filed under the name uncultured bacterium. RNAcentral describes it as "bacterial SSU rRNA". It matches the Rfam family "Bacterial small subunit ribosomal RNA", at positions 355 to 776 of the family's 1533-position model. The record is from RNAcentral.